GGGGGCGAUCGGGUUCGACGGGGAUGAGAAAGCAAGGACAGCAUGCCGAGGUCCCAGGUCCUCGUAAAACCUUUGGGAAAAAGACAACUGCCAACGAAGAGCUGGCUCUCGCUGCUUAAUCUAAACAAUUAAGUGAGCGCGCUUAUCGGAUUUUGUGCCUGCCCGGAUCCGAAGGCGUGGAGAAGGCAGGAUCGCCAAGGGAACAUGCCUGGGUUCCCGAGGUUAAACCCUUACAGGCUCGCUGAUGACGGGUACGCCCCUCUUUCCCGUCGUUGGUCAGACUUAAACAGGGGCUAAGCAUGUAGCGGUUCUUGGCGGACUGUUUCCGGACGCGGGUUCAAUUCCCGCCGCCUCCACCA
Non-coding RNA from Leptospirillum ferriphilum ML-04, 359 nucleotides. The record is from Rfam. Lineage: Bacteria; Pseudomonadati; Nitrospirota; Nitrospiria; Nitrospirales; Nitrospiraceae.